RNAcentral lists this ribosomal RNA (497 nucleotides) under uncultured bacterium. Its description in RNAcentral is "partial 16S ribosomal RNA". It matches the Rfam family "Bacterial small subunit ribosomal RNA", at positions 28 to 507 of the family's 1533-position model. The record is from RNAcentral.
GACGAACGCUGGCGGCGUGCCUAAUACAUGCAAGUAGAACGCUGAAGAGAGGAGCUUGCUCUUCUUGGAUGAGUUGCGAACGGGUGAGUAACGCGUAGGUAACCUGCCUGGUAGCGGGGGAUAACUAUUGGAAACGAUAGCUAAUACCGCAUAAAAUGGAUUAUCGCAUGAUAAUCCAUUGAAAGGUGCAAAUGCAUCACUACCAGAUGGACCUGCGUUGUAUUAGCUAGUUGGUGGGGUAACGGCUCACCAAGGCGACGAUACAUAGCCGACCUGAGAGGGUGAUCGGCCACACUGGGACUGAGACACGGCCCAGACGCCUACGGGAGGCAGCAGUAGGGAAUCUUCGGCAAGGGACGGAAGGCUGACCGAGCAACGCCGCGUGAGUGAAGAAGGUUUUCGGAUCGUAAAGCUCGGUUGUAAGAGAAGAACGAGUGUGAGAGUGGAAAGUUCACAAUGUGACGGUAUCUUACCAGAAAGAGACGGCUAACUACGUG